UACUUCUCAGGGUCACACCUGGAGAGUUUCCAGUACUCUACCAGUCUCGGCUGCAGGAGGCAGAGUCAAGCAAUGGCAUACCCAUUCCGUUCCUAGCUUGGCCAGUGGCUAGCGAGUGGAAGGCAACCUGCUACAAGU
This is a small nucleolar RNA of Tachyglossus aculeatus (Australian echidna), 138 nucleotides long. The record is from RefSeq and is a predicted model, not a curated record. Lineage: Eukaryota; Metazoa; Chordata; Mammalia; Monotremata; Tachyglossidae.